AGAGUUUGAUCAUGGCUCAGGAUGAACGCUGGCGGCGUGCUUAACACAUGCAAGUCGAACGGAGUUUUUAAACGGAAGUUUUCGGAUGGAAGUUUAGAAACUUAGUGGCGGACGGGUGAGUAACGCGUGGGUAACCUGCCUCAUACAGGGGGAUAACAGUUAGAAAUGACUGCUAACACCGCAUAAUAUAGCGAAACCGCAUGAUUUUUGCUAUCAAAUAUUUAUAGGUAUGAGAUGGGCCCGCGUCUGAUUAGCUAGUUGGUGGGGUAAAAGCCUACCAAGGCGACGAUCAGUAGCCGGCUUGAGAGAGUGACCGGCCACAUUGGGACUGAGACACGGCCCAAACUCCUACGGGAGGCAGCAGUGGGGAAUAUUGGACAAUGGGGGAAACCCUGAUCCAGCGACGCCCGCGUGAGUGAAGAAGUAUUUCGGUAUGUAAAGCUCUAUCAGCAGGGAAGAUAAUGACAGUACCUGACUAAGAAGCCCCGGCUAACUACGUGCCAGCAGCUGC
Molecule: ribosomal RNA, 511 nt
Filed under: uncultured bacterium
Lineage: Bacteria
Description: bacterial SSU rRNA
Rfam family: Bacterial small subunit ribosomal RNA
Source: RNAcentral